This 2703-nucleotide long non-coding RNA is filed under the name Homo sapiens (human). RNAcentral's name for it is "HSALNT0120013". The record is from RNAcentral. Lineage: Eukaryota; Metazoa; Chordata; Mammalia; Primates; Hominidae.
GUGCACACGUUAGGGUUGCACAAGAGGUGAUCAACAUAUCCCACCGCGAAGAGGAAAGCAGCAUUAACCUGGAACAUUUGAAUCCUGGGGCAGACAGGUAAAUGUCUUUGGAGAUGGGAGGAGAUAAGGUCAUAGAGGUAAGGAAUUGAGAAGUGAAUUAAGGAAAGAACUGUCAGGAACAACUGCAGGAGAGGAUGGCAUGAGGAAGAGAAAUUGGCAGAGCAGGGGGUCACUGUGAUACAAAGAAUCUGAGGCCAACACAGGGGCUCUGAAGAGAGCAGCAAACUAUAAAAAAGUUUAUAGCCAGUGAAGGGGACAAGGCCAAAGAUGCAAGAGACAGAAGGCAUUCCCAACAGGGUGUGAGGUUCAGGUGGGACAAGAAGGAGGCAGGCUCAGAGACGCAGAGGGGGGGAUUCCUUUAGACAGGAGGUGGAGCUGUUUUCUUAGAAAGGGCGAAACUACCAAAGAUAAAAUCUGCAGAGAGUAAGGAAAGAAGUUGGUGGAACUGAGGCCCGAUGGCUUUGGACCAAUUCAGAAAACCAAGAGGCAAACUCAGCUUAUGACUUUCUUAAAGCACUGAGUUCCUGAAAAAGUGCCAAACUGAAUGGUGCAGUCCUGCCGAAAGAGACCCUGCGCUGUGCUGUGUUCUCAAAGGAAGGAAUGUGUUUCACAUCUCUACACCUCUGCAACUUGGGACAGUGUAGCUUUCCUAUUUUCUGGCACCCAAAAAGGGACAGCUGAUACACCCCACUCACUCCAGACUCUGCAGAUGAGAUCUGGGACAACUGACAAAAAGCUGGAGACAGGUAAGAAUUCUUGCCAAGGUCAGCUCUCCUGGAUCUUUAUCAGUAGCACCCCGUGGAGAGAAGAAGGUUAAAAACUUUUUCUUUUCCCCUACUUCCCAAAUUCUGAUUAUCAAGAGAAAAUCAUUUGUUUGAAUUGUGACUCCUAUGUAAAUGUGAUUUGGGGUACCCAUUCAUUAUUGAUCCUUUCCCUCCCAGGGACAGCUAUAACUUUCCUAUUUGUCUUGUGUCCUGAGAACUUAGCUUGACUUUCUACCUGUCAGGGCAUGCAAAUUGUUGGCAUUGUAGUCCAUAAAAUUAAGCUGUAAAUAGCUAAAGUUAGACCAGCCAGGAUGCCAAUCAACUUUUGUUUUGCUUUGCUUUUCUGCAUUUUGGGGUACAUGGAGAAAGUCUGGAAGAUGCUGCCCUGCCUACAUAAGGACAUGACGACCUUGUAACCUCACUUGAAUCUUUGGUCAUACAAUCUCUCGUAUUCUGAAGAUUCACCUGGAAGAGAAGAACGAUCAUCAAUGGCAAGUGACAGUAGCAGCAAAGCAACUCCAUGAGCCAGCUUCAUGCUCAGGAUCAUCCUGCGCCUUCUCCUCAUGGGUUCUGCUGCUCUUCUGCAGGCUAAAAAUAUAACAAGCAAAGACUGAGAAGGAGCUGGAAGAAAUUAAGAAGAAUGCUUUCCAACGUUUGGAAAUUCCUUGAACGAUGCACAUAUAAUGUAUAUGCAAUAACUCUUCAGUAAAGGAAAAGACAUAAAGAAAUGAGAGACUGCAUAAAAGCCUGGGCAAUUCUAUAUUUUAAAUAAUAAGGUGAAACGGCAAAAUGUUUUGUUCUACGUGGUAUCUGUUCAACUGUAAUUCUGUACUCCACAUGAUGUGAAAAUCUAAGUUUGAGCAAAGUUGGCCUUCUUUUUUUCUUUAAUCCACACUGACAUUGUGCCCAGAGAUGGGGCUCCAGCUGUUGAGGGACUAGAAGAACCUCAGGGAGUGAGUGAUCAGCUCAAUACCGAAUCCUCCGUGUGCCAAGAGGAUCCCUUUGACCCUGAAGCCAUUGCAAAUUGUUGCUUUUUCUUGUAAGUAGAGUCUGCCCCCACGUGGUGAAAGUGAGAGGCUGCUUUUACACACCAGGACGCCUUCCUCUCGCUUCUAGGGCAGCAAUUUUUGUAGCGACUGGCGCCCUUUUACCACCAUUCUAUCUUUGAACUGCUCUUCCUUCUUCCCUUCCCUCUGUCCUACUUCCCCCUUUUCCUCUUCUCCUUCCUUUCGUCUUCUUUCUGUUUCAUCCCCUCUACUUCUUCCUUCCCCUUUGCUUUCCUGAGCCCUCCACUGUAUUAUUCAGUGGCCCAGACCCCGUGUCUGGGGGAGGAUCUGGACUCUGAUUUGAGGAAUUCAGGAAAGACAAUUUCAAUAAAUAAUUAGAGAAUAAUCACUUUAAGGGAUAACAACAUGACAUCGUAGAUCCUGAACCAGAGAUUGAGAUACCUGGCUUUCACACGCCGUGGCUCUGUCCCAGAAAUAGGAUACAGAUAUGACAUGUUUAUAUGCAAAGUAAGAAAUCUAGGCGUAAGCAUAGCUUCAUAGAGAACCAGGAGGCAGAAAGACAAAAUGGGUUCAUCUGCCCUCUUUUUAAAAAAAGCAGUAAAGACACCUAAUGCUGAUCCCACCAGCUCCCGCUGAGCCACUCCAAAUACAUGCAAUCUAAGCAAUCGAAAACCAAUGCUCAUGUGGCAAUACAGCCUCAAGAUAAAGCUCCUUGCUUCCCUCGUGGUCCUAUUACAGGCAGCCCGUCAUCCCUAGGGCCAUCCUGAGCAACCAGUCCACCCUGGACAUCAUUUUCAUCAUGUCACAUCCCUACCCAGAAAUCUUCAAAGGUAUGUUGCCUUCAAAGUCCAAAUACCUCGUGCAUUAUUCAG